Molecule: microRNA precursor, 89 nt
Filed under: Pelobates cultripes (western spadefoot toad)
Lineage: Eukaryota; Metazoa; Chordata; Amphibia; Anura; Pelobatidae
Source: RNAcentral
CUCCAGAUGUUGCUGAACUACAACUCCCAUGAUUCACAGCCUAUUACAUUCUUAGAAUCAUGGGAGUUGUAGUUCAGCAACAUCUGGAG